This 301-nucleotide ribosomal RNA is filed under the name uncultured bacterium. Its description in RNAcentral is "partial 16S ribosomal RNA". It matches the Rfam family "Bacterial small subunit ribosomal RNA", at positions 510 to 808 of the family's 1533-position model. The record is from RNAcentral.
AGCCGCCGCGGGAAAACAGAGGGUGCAAGCGUUAAUCGGAAUUACUGGGCGUAAAGCGCGCGUAGGUGGUUUGUUAAGUUGGAUGUGAAAUCCCCGGGCUCAACCUUGGAACUGCCUUUGAUACUGGUUGUCUUGAGUCCGGGAGAGGUGAGUGGAACUGCGAGUGUAGAGGUGAAAUUCGUAGAGAUCUGGAGGAAUACCGAUGGCGAAGGCAGCCAUCUGGCCUAAUACUGACGCCGAGGUACGAAAGCAUGGGGAGCAAACAGGAUUAGAUACCCGUGUAGUCCCUGUCUCUUAUACA